CCCCCCCAAAAACCAAACUUAAACAGAGUAACAGAAAAGCUCGAUCAGGCCAGAAAAAAAUAAUUGUAAUGUAUCCCUGUACUACAAUCCUUCUCAUGAGUAAAAACAAACUCCAAAUUGUUGUUGUAUAUAUUGUUGUUGCAUGCUUACCAUAUGUUAGAUGGAAGCAUUUCCUAUCCAGUGUGGAUAAAAGAACAUUUUUCAAGUUGUAGUAAAUUAUUAUAAAGCCAAUGAUAUUUCAUGGCAUGUUAUUGUAUCAAGCUGUGCUUGUUGUAUUUUUGUUCUUUAUGUUUGUAUUGCUUUUUAUAAAUGUACAAAUAUUUCCUGUAGUGACGAGUACCUGCUUUACAUAGCAUUAAUUGAACUACAAGGACGAUGGGCUAUAUACACUCCUCGAUCCAUUGAAUGGGAGUUAUGCACAUGGAUCUAGGGUAGUGUGUAGCCAUACUGCAGUGGGUGUGUAUAGAAACACCUAGUGAUAAGCAAAUGCCUAUUUUUUAUUAACUGAACACAGAAUCAUUAACUGGUUAUUGACCAGUUAUUUACUAGACAUUGUACAUGCAGGUUAUUAACUGGACAUAGAAUCAGAGUGCCCACGGGUAAUCUAAGUUACUUGUUUUCAGUAGACCCUGACCAUGUAAAAUGUACUCAGCAAAACCAGAGCAGAUGUUGGCUAGCAGAAUUUACCUCCAGUAUCGUAUUUAAAAUCAACCUAUGGGUGUACAAUUAUGCAGGUUUGGAGCCUGGUGCCACUGAAGUCAAUGGGAGUUCUGCAAUUGACUUCAACAGGCACAGGACCACGGCCACAUUUUCUGGGGCUGCAGUAGGUGCAUGUACUAAAUUGAAAGGGACACGGCACAAACACCAACCUUUGUGCAUGUAUGCAGAGGCCCAUUUGUGUGUUCUGAAAAGGCUUUCAGCAGGUGCAAAACAUCUAGGUGCACGGUUCUUUGCAGACGUGCUCCUGCAAAUGUGUGGCCCUAAGUUUCCGAAGAGAUGGUCCUAAAGCUCUAAAAUGAAUUUUCCCAAAGAGGAGAAGAUUUCUGAUAGCAGAUGGGUCUUUAAUCUGUAGCAACCUGCAUGAAACUUGGAGGCAGGAGCACAGAUUGGAGGAGGGAAGCGUUCAGAGAAGGCUUCAGGAAGUCAGCCUGUGUGCACGUGGCUGGAAUGCUAGCUGCAGUUUCAGCAUCUCUGUAAAUAGUUCUCUUAAUAAAGGGCCAGUUUAGGUUUACAAGCAUGGAGUCCUUUUAUGUAUUAACCAGCAUGUAGUACACGAAACAUAAUCUGGCAGACAAAAGCGUAACAAAAUCCAGUGGCAGGAAACUGAGGCUAGACAAAUUCAGACUAGAAAUAAGGCACACAUUUUUAACAGUGAGGGUAAUUAACCAUUAGAACAGUUUACUUGGGCAUAUGAUGGAUUCUCCAUCACUAGAAGAUGGGAUGUCGUUCUUAAAGUUAUGCUUUAGCUCAACCAGAAAUGAUGGGCUUGAUGCAGAAGUGACCAAGUGAAAUUCUGCUGCCUGUUUUAGGCAGGAGGUCAGACUAGAUGAUUGGAAAGGUCCCCUUCUGACCUUAGAACCUGUGAAUUUAUGAAAGAUCAGGUCCUAGGGAACCAGGCGGGUAGCUGCACUCAUCUCUAAAUUUCAUUGUAUUGCAUUAAUAUGAAGAGAGAAAAGGAAAUACCUAAGGGAGCAAAGCCACCUUUGCCAAAGCCAGAAUCUGAAUGGAAAUUAAGACCAAAAGGACAUAUCUUCAACUGAGUGGGACUAUGGUGAUUGAGGUCAGCUGAGGGUUGGGCCCAAAACCCAUCAAACUUGCGUGCUUAAAGUUAGGCUCCUACGUUCAUAUUUGGGUACCUUGGCAGAAGUGAGCUGAGUUUCCAAGGUGCUGAGCCCCCACCAACCUCACUGAAAUCCAGGGGAGUCACAAGUGCAGGGCACUUUUGAAAAAAAAAAAGAAACCGGACUCCUUUUGUUGAGGUGCCUAACUAUGGAGUUAGGGGCCUAGCAGAGAAAGGUGGCUGGAAGGGGAAGCUGGAGAAAUUCAGACUGACAAUAAGGUGGGAAUUCAUAAUGAUGAGAGUAAUUAACAGGGAGGGUAAUUAACCAGCGGAACAAUUGAACCAGGAUUAAGGUGGAUUCUCCAUCAUUGGCCAUUUUUAAAUCAAGGUUGGAUGUUUCUGUAAAAAAUCUGCUGUAGGAACUAUUUUGGGGAAGUUUUCUGGCUUGUGCGAUACAGGAGGUCAGACUAGAUGAUCACAGUGGUCCUUUAUGGCCUUGGAAUCUAUGAACUUGUCUACACUCGAAAUGCUACAGUGGCACUACUAACGCUGAUGGGAGGGGUUGUCCCAUCAGUAUAAGUAAUCCAACUCCCAGAGAGGAAGUAGCUAGGUUGAUGGAAGAAUUCUUCUGUCCACCUACCUCUGUCUGCACUGGGGUUAGGUUGAUUUAACUACAUUGCUCAAGGGUGUUGAUUUUCUACACCCCUGAGCGAUAUAGGUGGGUCAGCCUAACUUAGUAGUGUUGACAAGGCUUAUGAAACUUUAGGCAACCAGGUUUGACAAUGUUGGCCAUAAUUUCACAUCGCCUUCCAGUGACAAUUAAUGCUAUGCAAACGAGGUUGAAUGAACUGGUGUACUGUAUACAGACAUAUGGUACCCUAUGUAUCCCCUCCCGAUAGAACUUUCCUGUUGUACAUAUUACAAAGCUGUCAUUCCAAACUAGCCAUUUGAAGGCAAAUGUUCAUUACAGAACAAAAGGAAGGAGCUAAACGGUGAAACAUCUGCUCUGCAGUUUCAACAGGAAUUAGGGUUUCAUUUUUUGUAUUGUUUUUACCACUUGCACAUGCAGAAAUAUAGAAGUAAUAGAAUUGGUCUUGAUAGCAAUGAACAGCUCUGAGUGAUUUGCUCUGAAUAGGACACUCAGGCCUGGGACUUAUAUUAUUCUUUAUUCAUGUACAUUUUUUAUAUUCAAUGCUCUACAUCAAUCUGUGUCCAACAGCCUGAAAGAAAUCUGCAGUAGCAUUUGACGAGGAUUAAGAACAUUUCAAAAUGCUGAAAAGUUACAAGCUGCUGCUGGCUGUAAUUUGAAGCCUUUGUUCAAAUUAGCCUUGUGAUCUUCCAAAUUCUCCAGAUACUCCAUGUCGUGUCAAAACAUGUUCUGUCAUCAUUUAGAUGAUGGGGAGUUGGAAGGGAGGGGAGGGGGCUGUCUAGUUUCUUUGAGAACUCUAGCAGUGUUUGAGUCAAGAAUAUUGCUAAUAGCUGGGAAUGAUGCAGCAGUGGAAAGGAAACAUGCUUUAUUUUUUGAUAUUGACUUCAGUGUUGAUAUCCCAGGACUGGUUGGAAGAAGACAGUUAAGCCAGGUUUAAAUGAUGAUGUUCUACUCCCUGUGUUUGUUGCAUGUGUCAUUUGUUAAAUUCAGUCAUUACCCUUGCUGAUCUUGAGGUUAUUAUUAAAGAACUACACUAAUUCA
Long non-coding RNA from Terrapene triunguis (Three-toed box turtle), 3470 nucleotides. RefSeq lists it as uncharacterized. The transcript has 2 exons. NCBI's taxonomy places the organism in Eukaryota, Metazoa, Chordata, Testudines, Emydidae. The record is from RefSeq and is a predicted model, not a curated record.